GAUGAAGAACGUAGCGAAAUGCGAUAAGUAAUGUGAAUUGCAGAAUUCAGUGAAUCAUCGAAUCUUUGAACGCACAUUGCGCCCCUUGGUAUUCCGAGGGGCAUGCCUGUUCGAGCGUCAUUAAUUCCACUUAAGCCCUGCUUAGUGUUGGGAAUCUACUCUAGUGGUGCUACCCUGGAGCUACCCCUGAAAGGGGGCUGGCCCGGUAGUUACCCUGUAGUUCCUCAAAGAUAGUGCGCGGAGUUGCGUGGUCCUCUGAGCUUAGUAACUAUACACCUAGCUUUUGAGUGUCCCGCGGCGCCUGCCGUUUAAACCCCAUCUUUUAAUGGUUGACCUCGGAUCAGGUAGGAAUACCCGCUGAACUUAAGCAUAUCAAUAAGCGGAGGA
This 387-nucleotide unclassified non-coding RNA is filed under the name soil metagenome. RNAcentral's name for it is "partial contains 5.8S ribosomal RNA, internal transcribed spacer 2, and large subunit ribosomal RNA". The stretch from base 1 to 120 matches the Rfam family "5.8S ribosomal RNA", at positions 35 to 154 of the family's 154-position model. The record is from RNAcentral.